This 424-nucleotide ribosomal RNA is filed under the name Verrucomicrobiota bacterium. RNAcentral describes it as "Verrucomicrobia bacterium partial 16S ribosomal RNA". It matches the Rfam family "Bacterial small subunit ribosomal RNA", at positions 355 to 776 of the family's 1533-position model. The record is from RNAcentral. RNAcentral also lists the same sequence under 1 other name. Lineage: Bacteria; Pseudomonadati; Verrucomicrobiota.
UGAGGAAUAUUGGUCAAUGGGCGAGAGCCUGAACCAGCCAAGUAGCGUGCAGGAUGACGGCCCUAUGGGUUGUAAACUGCUUUUAUGCGGGGAUAAAGUGCGUGACGUGUCAUGCAUUGCAGGUACCGCAUGAAUAAGGACCGGCUAAUUCCGUGCCAGCAGCCGCGGUAAUACGGAAGGUCCGGGCGUUAUCCGGAUUUAUUGGGUUUAAAGGGAGCGUAGGCCGCCAGAUAAGCGUGUUGUGAAAUGUACCGGCUCAACCGGUGAAUUGCAGCGCGAACUGUUUGGCUUGAGUGCACGGUAAGCAGGCGGAAUUCAUGGUGUAGCGGUGAAAUGCUUAGAUAUCAUGAGGAACUCCGAUUGCGAAGGCAGCUUGCUGCAGUGCGACUGACGCUGAUGCUCGAAGGUGCGGGUAUCAAACAGG